GUUAGUAUGCGUAGUUCAGUGCUUUGUCGUCAUAACUACGAUCAAAGAUACCGUUGAUCGGUUUUCAGAAUCGGUAAUGAAAUUGUGAUUUAGUUGAAAGUGCAAACAUUACGUGCAUGUGUUAUAAUCAUUUCGCCUUUACACUUAAAAUGUUUUUCAUUCUGUUUUCCGACGACGACGAAAUACAGGAAAAAAGAGAUUUGCGUAACAAACGUAGAAUUUUACGGAAAAAAGCAGAUCCUUUUAAACUAUCAGACACAGCGUUUCUUCAAUGUUUCAGGGUUACGAAACCAAUUUUUUCGUUUAUUUUGGAAAAAAUUGAACCUCAAUUAGAAUGUAUUAAAAGUAAUGGAGUGAGUGCAAAAAUUAAA
This is a long non-coding RNA of Anopheles coluzzii, 371 nucleotides long. RefSeq lists it as uncharacterized. NCBI's taxonomy places the organism in Eukaryota, Metazoa, Arthropoda, Insecta, Diptera, Culicidae. The record is from RefSeq and is a predicted model, not a curated record. The transcript has 2 exons.